UUCUUAAGAAUACAGGGACUGGCUAUAGCAGAGUAAAUGCUACAGAAUGACAAGGUGGAUCUGAUUAGACUCAGCUGGCCAAUCAAGAAGCCUGAAAUCCUGGCUAGUCAGUCUACAGGAGAGCUCUGACUGAGAGACAUAGAGAGGUGUCUGUGAAUCCAACACACAGGAAUCUAUGAGCCUGUACACAUACAGUUGCCUGGGAAGAGUGUUUAGGUCACUGGGUAUAAAACAGGCCGCUGAAAAGCUGUUCUCCCUCCCAUUCAAGUUCGAAAUAAACUGCAAAUACAUUUCAGGCGAGUGAUAUACACAAGCGCUAUGAAUACACUGAAGUUACUGGAUCUUCAAUGAAAGGGAACUCAGUAUUGCUUUUCAGACAACACAGCAUGGAAAACAACUACUCUUUUUUUUACACUUUUAAAAGAAUUAUAGGUGGUGGAUCAUGGGGCGGACAACUGCAAUCUAAAUCCAGCAAAAUAUCAUUGCUUCUACUCACUCUCUAGGCUUUGUCCCCACGAAAAGGUGAGGACUCUCUAUUUAUACCAAAAGGAAAGGAGUUUUAUAGAGACUGGAAGGAAAUGAUGAUGUUUUGAUUCUUCAAAGCGCAACGUUCAUAAAAUUCCCCACGUACCAGAAGGUGAAAAUAAAAAAUCUGCAGAAAAUGUUCACAUUUUUUUUUCUUUAAAGAGAAAGAAACCAAGAAAAAUGCCU
Molecule: long non-coding RNA, 711 nt
Organism: Xenopus tropicalis (tropical clawed frog)
Lineage: Eukaryota; Metazoa; Chordata; Amphibia; Anura; Pipidae
Exons: 2
Source: RefSeq, a predicted model, not a curated record